UCUAAGUGGGUGGUAAACUCCAUCUAAGGCUAAAUAUAACCACGAGACCGAUAGCGAACAAGUACCGUGAGGGAAAGUUGAAAAGCACUUUGAAGAGAGAGUUCAAGAGUACGUGAAACCGUUCAGGGGUAAACCUGAGAAACCCAAAAGAUCGAUUUGGGAGAUUCAUCGUCAGCGGCUUUAGCUUACCUUUGGAUUUUGUGAUGCUGUGUCACUUCGGUAACACAGUACACUGCCAUCGGAUAUGUCUAAAGUUGUCGGCGUGCACUUCUCCCUUAGUAGAACGUCGUGACCCGCUGGUUAUCGGUUUACGGUGCGAGUGGUCGCCUGUCUCAUAGCAUUCACGUGCUUAUGUGGCAGACCCUUGCUUACCGGACCUAUUGACCGGCGGUAAACACAUGGUACUGGGCCGCAUAUAACAUGCGUUCAGACCCAUCACAAGUGAGAUCAGUGUCCCGGAGGUGCGGACUUAGUGCCGUCCCUGGGCCUGGUCAGCUGUUGGUUGAUGGUGCUCUCGAACAGGCUCGUUGAAAGCAUUAUUAAAUACCGGUCGACGACGCUAUUGCUUUGGGUAC
This 575-nucleotide ribosomal RNA is filed under the name Pycnostigmus rostratus A MB503. Its description in RNAcentral is "eukaryotic LSU rRNA". It matches the Rfam family "Eukaryotic large subunit ribosomal RNA", at positions 287 to 620 of the family's 3401-position model. The record is from RNAcentral. Lineage: Eukaryota; Metazoa; Arthropoda; Insecta; Hymenoptera; Figitidae.